GGGCCCGUAGUCUAGUACAACGGGUAAAUCCAGUAUCAUAGGAAUUUUCCGUGCUGACGGAUUAUGACACUGGCCUGCGGAGCCGGAGGUCCUGGGUUCAAAUCCCAGCGGGCCCGCCA
This 119-nucleotide transfer RNA is filed under the name Candidatus Bathyarchaeota archaeon. Its description in RNAcentral is "tRNA-Arg". It matches the Rfam family "tRNA". Rfam says of the family: Transfer RNA (tRNA) molecules are approximately 80 nucleotides in length. Their secondary structure includes four short double-helical elements and three loops (D, anti-codon, and T loops). Further hydrogen bonds mediate the characteristic L-shaped molecular structure. tRNAs have two regions of fundamental functional importance: the anti-codon, which is responsible for specific mRNA codon recognition, and the 3' end, to which the tRNAs corresponding amino acid is attached (by aminoacyl-tRNA synthetases). tRNAs cope with the degeneracy of the genetic code in two manners: having more than one tRNA (with a specific anti-codon) for a particular amino acid; and 'wobble' base-pairing, i.e. permitting non-standard base-pairing at the 3rd anti-codon position. Lineage: Archaea; Thermoproteati; Candidatus Bathyarchaeota. The record is from RNAcentral.